Molecule: unclassified non-coding RNA, 372 nt
Filed under: soil metagenome
Description: partial contains 5.8S ribosomal RNA, internal transcribed spacer 2, and large subunit ribosomal RNA
Rfam family: 5.8S ribosomal RNA (bases 1-120)
Source: RNAcentral
GAUGAAGAACGUAGUGAAAUGCGAUAAGUAGUGUGAAUUGCAGAAUUCAGUGAAUCAUCGAAUCUUUGAACGCACAUUGCGCCCUUUGGUAUUCCGAAGGGCAUGCCUGUUCGAGCGUCAUUAUCACCCCUCAAGCCCUCGGCUUGGUGUUGGACGGUUUGGUGGAGGCCCCCUCGGGGGCUCCUGCCCCUCCCAAAGACAAUGACGGCGGCCUCGUUGGACCCCCGGUACACUGAGUUCUUCACGGGACACGUAUCGGACACAUGGGUUUACGGGACACGGUCUGCCUCCCCUCAGGGAGAAUCUUUCUAAGGUUGACCUCGGAUCAGGUAGGGAUACCCGCUGAACUUAAGCAUAUCAAUAAGCGGAGGA